RNAcentral lists this ribosomal RNA (433 nucleotides) under uncultured bacterium. Its description in RNAcentral is "partial 16S ribosomal RNA". It matches the Rfam family "Bacterial small subunit ribosomal RNA", at positions 29 to 507 of the family's 1533-position model. The record is from RNAcentral.
AACGAACGCUGGCGGCAUGCCUAACACAUGCAAGUCGAACGAGACCUUCGGGUCUAGUGGCGCACGGGUGCGUAACGCGUGGGAACCUGCCCUUAGGUUCGGAAUAACUCCCCGAAAGGGGUGCUAAUACCGGAUAAUGUCUUCGGACCAAAGAUUUAUCGCCUUUGGCUGGGCCCGCGUUGGAUUAGCUAGUUGGUAGGGUAAAAGCCUACCAAGGCGACGAUCCAUAGCUGGUCUGAGAGGAUGAUCAGCCACACUGGGACUGAGACACGGCCCAGACUCCUACGGGAGGCAGCAGUGGGGAAUAUUAAACAGUGGGCGAAAGCCUGAUCCAGCAAUGCCGCGUGAGUGAUGAAGGCCUUAGGGUUGUAUAGCUCUUUUACCCGGGAUGAUAAUGGCAGUACCGGGAGAAUAAGCUCCGGCUAACUCCGUG